This 486-nucleotide ribosomal RNA is filed under the name uncultured bacterium. RNAcentral's name for it is "partial 16S ribosomal RNA". It matches the Rfam family "Bacterial small subunit ribosomal RNA", at positions 30 to 507 of the family's 1533-position model. The record is from RNAcentral.
AUUGAACGCUGGCGGCAUGCCUUACACAUGCAAGUCGAGCGGCAGCACGGGUGCUUGCACCUGGUGGCGAGUGGCGAACGGGUGAGUAAUACAUCGGAACAUGUCCUGUAGUGGGGGAUAGCCCGGCGAAAGCCGGAUUAAUACCGCAUACGAUCCACGGAUGAAAGCGGGGGACCUUCGGGCCUCGCGCUAUAGGGUUGGCCGAUGGCUGAUUAGCUAGUUGGUGGGGUAAAGGCCUACCAAGGCGACGAUCAGUAGCUGGUCUGAGAGGACGACCAGCCACACUGGGACUGAGACACGGCCCAGACUCCUACGGGAGGCAGCAGUGGGGAAUUUUGGACAAUGGGCGAAAGCCUGAUCCAGCAAUGCCGCGUGUGUGAAGAAGGCCUUCGGGUUGUAAAGCACUUUUGUCCGGAAAGAAAUCCUUGGCUCUAAUACAGUCGGGGGAUGACGGUACCGGAAGAAUAAGCACCGGCUAACUACGUG